RNAcentral lists this ribosomal RNA (207 nucleotides) under uncultured bacterium. RNAcentral's name for it is "partial 16S ribosomal RNA". It matches the Rfam family "Bacterial small subunit ribosomal RNA", at positions 568 to 774 of the family's 1533-position model. The record is from RNAcentral.
CUCGUAGGCGGUUCGUCGCGUCCGGUGUGAAAGUCCAUCGCCUAACGGUGGAUCUGCGCCGGGUACGGGCGGGCUGGAGUGCGGUAGGGGAGACUGGAAUUCCCGGUGUAACGGUGGAGUGUGUAGAUAUCGGGAAGAACACCAAUGGCGAAGGCAGGUCUCUGGGCCGUUACUGACGCUGAGGAGCGAAAGCGUGGGGAGCGAACA